RNAcentral lists this ribosomal RNA (492 nucleotides) under uncultured bacterium. RNAcentral describes it as "partial 16S ribosomal RNA". It matches the Rfam family "Bacterial small subunit ribosomal RNA", at positions 28 to 507 of the family's 1533-position model. The record is from RNAcentral.
GAUGAACGCUAGCUACAGGCUUAACACAUGCAAGUCGAGGGGAAACGGCAUCGAAAGCUUGCUUUUGAUGGGCGUCGACCGGCGCACGGGUGAGUAACGCGUAUCCAACCUGCCCAUCACCUGGGAAUAACCUUGCGAAAGUAAGACUAAUGCCCAAUGACAUCCCACGAAGGCAUCCGAAUGGGAUUAAAGAUUUAUCGGUGAUGGAUGGGGAUGCGUCUGAUUAGCUUGUUGGCGGGGUGACGGCCCACCAAGGCAACGAUCAGUAGGGGUUCUGAGAGGAAGGUCCCCCACAUUGGAACUGAGACACGGUCCAAACUCCUACGGGAGGCAGCAGUGAGGAAUAUUGGUCAAUGGGCGAGAGCCUGAACCAGCCAAGUAGCGUGCAGGAUGACGGCCCUAUGGGUUGUAAACUGCUUUUAUAAGGGAAUAAAGUGGGUCACGUGUGACUUUUUGCAUGUACCUUAUGAAUAAGGACCGGCUAAUUCCGUG